GUCGUGGGAUUACAGCCAAGAGGUUGUAAGGGCUCUCUUUGAAUCCAGCCCGGAAGGAUGGUUCAUUGCUGAGAUGCAAGGGAAAGUUGUAGGUGUGAUGAUGGUGUUUAACAUAAACGAGGAGGAGGCCCAUGGAGGAAUGUGGAUCGUCAGUAAGCUGUGGCGUGGACACCGUAUUGGACCAGGCACAGGUGCCGUGCAGUCGUGAGACCUGUGGCGGAGGGAGCUACUGACUAUGAGCGGUGCAGAAAUUAACUAUAGAUUUGUGAAUGUUUAACGAAGCACAGUGUGCUUCUCUAGGGCACAGGAAAUUUGGAAUGCUGUAUCACUGACUGUCAACAAUGGCUGGCUUCUGAUGACGUAAUCGCCAAAAUCUUUUCC
This 381-nucleotide long non-coding RNA is filed under the name Lingula anatina. RNAcentral's name for it is "uncharacterized LOC106180689, transcript variant X1". Lineage: Eukaryota; Metazoa; Brachiopoda; Lingulata; Lingulida; Lingulidae. The record is from RNAcentral.